GAUGAAGAACGCAGUGAAAUGCGAUAAGUAAUGUGAAUUGCAGAAUCCAGUGAAUCAUCGAAUCUUUGAACGCACAUUGCGCCCGCCAGCAUUCUGGCGGGCAUGCCUGUUCGAGCGUCAUUUCAACCCUCGACCUCCCUUUGGGGAAGUCGGCGUUGGGGACCGGCAGCACACCGCCGGCCCUGAAAUGGAGUGGCGGCCCGUCCGCGGCGACCUCUGCGUAGUAAUCCAACUCGCACCGGAACCCCGACGCGGCCACGCCGUAAAACACCCAACUUCUGAACGUUGACCUCGAAUCAGGUAGGACUACCCGCUGAACUUAAGCAUAUCAAUAAGGGAGGA
Molecule: unclassified non-coding RNA, 342 nt
Filed under: soil metagenome
Description: partial contains 5.8S ribosomal RNA, internal transcribed spacer 2, and large subunit ribosomal RNA
Rfam family: 5.8S ribosomal RNA (bases 1-120)
Source: RNAcentral